RNAcentral lists this ribosomal RNA (696 nucleotides) under uncultured bacterium. RNAcentral's name for it is "bacterial SSU rRNA". It matches the Rfam family "Bacterial small subunit ribosomal RNA", at positions 32 to 715 of the family's 1533-position model. The record is from RNAcentral.
AACGCUAGCUACAGGCUUAACACAUGCAAGUCGAGGGGAAACGACAUCGAAAGCUUGCUUUUGAUGGGCGUCGACCGGCGCACGGGUGAGUAACGCGUAUCCAACCCGCCCACCACUUGGGGAUAACCUUGCGAAAGUAAGACUAAUACCCAAUGAUAUCUCUAGAAGACAUCUGAAGGAGAUUAAAGAUUUAUCGGUGAUGGAUGGGGAUGCGUCUGAUUAGCUUGUUGGCGGGGUAACGGCCCACCAAGGCGACGAUCAGUAGGGGUUCUGAGAGGAAGGUCCCCCACAUUGGAACUGAGACACGGUCCAAACUCCUACGGGAGGCAGCAGUGAGGAAUAUUGGUCAAUGGACGAGAGUCUGAACCAGCCAAGUAGCGUGCAGGAUGACGGCCCUAUGGGUUGUAAACUGCUUUUAUAAGGGAAUAAAGUGAGUCUCGUGAGACUUUUUGCAUGUACCUUAUGAAUAAGGACCGGCUAAUUCCGUGCCAGCAGCCGCGGUAAUACGGAAGGUCCGGGCGUUAUCCGGAUUUAUUGGGUUUAAAGGGAGCGUAGGCCGGAGAUUAAGCGUGUUGUGAAAUGUAGACGCUCAACGUCUGCACUGCAGCGCGAACUGGUUUCCUUGAGUACGCACAAAGUGGGCGGAAUUCGUGGUGUAGCGGUGAAAUGCUUAGAUAUCACGAAGAACUCCGAUUG